RNAcentral lists this unclassified non-coding RNA (337 nucleotides) under soil metagenome. Its description in RNAcentral is "partial contains 5.8S ribosomal RNA, internal transcribed spacer 2, and large subunit ribosomal RNA". The stretch from base 1 to 120 matches the Rfam family "5.8S ribosomal RNA", at positions 35 to 154 of the family's 154-position model. The record is from RNAcentral.
GAUGAAGAACGCAGCGGAAUGCGAUAAGUAAUGUGAAUUGCAGAAUUCAGUGAAUCAUCGAAUCUUUGAACGCACAUUGCGCCCGCCAGUAUUCUGGCGGGCAUGCCUGUUCGAGCGUCAUUUCAACCAUCAAGCCCCCGGGCUUGUGUUGGGGACCUGCGGCUGCCGCAGGCCCUGAAAAGCAGUGGCGGGCUCGCUGUCACACCGAGCGUAGUAGAUUUUAUCUCGCUCUGGGCGUGCUGCGGGUUCCGGCCGUUAAACCACCCUUUUAACCCAAGGUUGACCUCGGAUCAGGUAGGAAGACCCGCUGAACUUAAGCAUAUCAAUAAGCGGAGGA